This 640-nucleotide long non-coding RNA is filed under the name Sorghum bicolor (sorghum). Its description in RNAcentral is "long non-coding RNA (SBIC_LNC000557)". The record is from RNAcentral. Lineage: Eukaryota; Viridiplantae; Streptophyta; Magnoliopsida; Poales; Poaceae.
ACCCAUCUUUUUGCAUUUGUUCAACAAUCUUAUGUUUAAUCUCCCAAGUUGACACUUCGACACCGUGUUUCCAUUUUGUUUUGUCCAGUGGUGUAGAGAGCAGUGCAUGCUUUAUGAGUCUUUCCAUUCCUAUUAACUGGAUUGAUCGACGCAUCAAAAUUAUUUAAGAAAGAGAUACCAAAGAGUUGUAAACAAGUAUGUGCCUCAGUCGUUUUUUUGUUUACCGUAUAUUUGAGAUCUGUCCAGUUUGUCAUAUUUUCUCCAAAUGAAUCCAAAACAUGUAUUUCACCUUCUGAAGCAUUCACGACCGCUAGGUACCAGUGAAACUUUGUAAUGUUGAUCGGAAGAAAGACCUGCAGAAAUAUAGAUUUAUAUAAAUUAUUUAUUUACUUUUGAAAGGGUUUAAAAAUUUACAUGACAUUUUUUAUAGUGAAGCCUACCAUAUCAACAUCUAAAUAAUUUUGAACCCUUGUCUCAACCACGUCGUGUUGAGUAUAGCUCAAUUUCGUCUCAUCUUGCUCUCCGUCACCUCGUAGCAAUUGAGAAAACCAUGUAUUCUCCAAAUAAACAGAUCCACCUUCUCUACGAAGAAGGUGCUCUUCAUUCUGCAUCAAUUGUAUAUAAAGACUUAUAACCUGCA